GACGAACGCUGGCGGCGUGCUUAACACAUGCAAGUCGAACGGAAAGGCCCUGCUUUUGUGGUGUGCUCGAGUGGCGAACGGGUGAGUAACACGUGAGUAACCUGCCCUUGACUUUGGGAUAACUUCAGGAAACUGGGGCUAAUACCGUAUAGGAGCUCCUGCUGCAUGGUGGGGGUUGGAAAGUUUCGGCGGUUGGGGAUGGACUCGCGGCUUAUCAGCUUGUUGGUGGGGUAGUGGCUUACCAAGGCUUUGACGGGUAGCCGGCCUGAGAGGGUGACCGGCCACAUUGGGACUGAGAUACGGCCCAGACUGCUACGGGAGGCAGCAGUGGGGAAUAUUGCACAAUGGGCGGAAGCCUGAUGAAGCAACGCCGCGUGCGGGAUGACGGCCUUCGGGUUGUAAACCGCUUUCGCCUGUGACGAAGCGUGAGUGACGGUAAUGGGUAAAGAAGCACCGGCUAACUACGUG
RNAcentral lists this ribosomal RNA (468 nucleotides) under uncultured bacterium. Its description in RNAcentral is "partial 16S ribosomal RNA". It matches the Rfam family "Bacterial small subunit ribosomal RNA", at positions 28 to 507 of the family's 1533-position model. The record is from RNAcentral.